This 429-nucleotide ribosomal RNA is filed under the name Acidobacteriota bacterium. RNAcentral's name for it is "Acidobacteria bacterium partial 16S ribosomal RNA". It matches the Rfam family "Bacterial small subunit ribosomal RNA", at positions 355 to 776 of the family's 1533-position model. Lineage: Bacteria; Pseudomonadati; Acidobacteriota. The record is from RNAcentral.
UGGGGAAUUUUGGACAAUGGGGGAAACCCUGAUCCAGCCAUCCCGCGUGUGCGAUGAAGGCCUUCGGGUUGUAAAGCACUUUUGGCAGGCAAGAAACGUCAUGGGUUAAUACCCCGUGAAACUGACGGUACCUGCAGAAUAAGCACCGGCUAACUACGUGCCAGCAGCCGCGGUAAUACGUAGGGUGCAAGCGUUAAUCGGAAUUACUGGGCGUAAAGCGUGCGCAGGCGGUUCGGAAAGAAAGAUGUGAAAUCCCAGAGCUCAACUUUGGAACUGCAUUUUUAACUACCGGGCUAGAGUGUGUCAGAGGGAGGUGGAAUUCCGCGUGUAGCAGUGAAAUGCGUAGAUAUGCGGAGGAACACCGAUGGCGAAGGCAGCCUCCUGGGAUAACACUGACGCUCAUGCACGAAAGCGUGGGGAGCAAACAGG